UGCGGCUGGAUCACCUCCUUUCUAAGGAAACGAAUGAAGUAAGGAGUUGUAUUACUGUUUAGAUGCUAAGGUGCAUCAAAAAUUUCUGGUGGCGAUGCGUUUAGGGGACACACCCGUUCCCAUCCCGAACACGACGGUUAAGACCUAAGCGGCCGAAAGUACUAUACUGGAGACGGUAUGGGAGGAUAGGAGGCUGCCAGAUUAAAAAAAGAAUAAAUCCUAUUUAUUUAUAAAAGAGGGCUUAUAGCUCAGCCGGUUAGAGCGCACGCCUGAUAAGCGUGAGGUCGGUGGUUCGAGUCCACUUAAGCCCACUAGAUAUCUUUUGUAAAUAGACGUGGGGGUGUAGCUCAGUUGGGAGAGCACCUGCCUUGCAAGCAGGGGGUCAAGAGUUCGAAUCUCUCCAUCUCCACUGAAUCUUCUAAUGAAGAUUCCAUUGUACAUUGAAAACCGAAUACUGAAACACAUCAAAUUAUCAGAUAACGAUAAAUAGACAUCGAAAGCAAAUCCAAAAACAAUGAAUGGUUUUAUCUGUAUAAUCGCUAUGCAGGUAAAGCAAAGAGCCCAUCAAAAGAUGGACUUCAUGAGAAAUCAUGUGAGAACAAAGGUUAUUGGACCUAAUGUUCCUAUAUUAAGCUUAAUGAGUAAGGAUAGGCCGCAAUGCUGGUCAUACGCCAAAUGCUUCGCAUUCGUCGUAUGAAGUGCUUCGCACUAUAAUAAACAGCAGCAGUCAAAAGAAUGUAAACAUUCUUUUGUCAGCCAUUGCAGUUUGUUGCAUUGCUCAUGU
RNAcentral lists this unclassified non-coding RNA (784 nucleotides) under Butyrivibrio fibrisolvens. The record is from RNAcentral. Lineage: Bacteria; Bacillati; Bacillota; Clostridia; Lachnospirales; Lachnospiraceae.